RNAcentral lists this ribosomal RNA (1334 nucleotides) under Escherichia coli. Its description in RNAcentral is "partial 23S ribosomal RNA". It matches the Rfam family "Bacterial large subunit ribosomal RNA", at positions 1 to 1374 of the family's 2925-position model. Lineage: Bacteria; Pseudomonadati; Pseudomonadota; Gammaproteobacteria; Enterobacterales; Enterobacteriaceae. The record is from RNAcentral.
GGUUAAGCGACUAAGCGUACACGGUGGAUGCCCUGGCAGUCAGAGGCGAUGAAGGACGUGCUAAUCUGCGAUAAGCGUCGGUAAGGUGAUAUGAACCGUUAUAACCGGCGAUUUCCGAAUGGGGAAACCCAGUGUGAUUCGUCACACUAUCAUUAACUGAAUCCAUAGGUUAAUGAGGCGAACCGGGGGAACUGAAACAUCUAAGUACCCCGAGGAAAAGAAAUCAACCGAGAUUCCCCCAGUAGCGGCGAGCGAACAGGGAGGAGCCCAGAGCCUGAAUCAGUGUGUGUGUUAGUGGAAGCGUCUGGAAAGGCGCGCGAUACAGGGUGACAGCCCCGUACACAAAAAUGCACAUACUGUGAGCUCGAUGAGUAGGGCGGGACACGUGGUAUCCUGUCUGAAUAUGGGGGGACCAUCCUCCAAGGCUAAAUACUCCUGACUGACCGAUAGUGAACCAGUACCGUGAGGGAAAGGCGAAAAGAACCCCGGCGAGGGGAGUGAAAAAGAACCUGAAACCGUGUACGUACAAGCAGUGGGAGCCUCUUUUAUGGGGUGACUGCGUACCUUUUGUAUAAUGGGUCAGCGACUUAUAUUCUGUAGCAAGGUUAACCGAAUAGGGGAGCCGAAGGGAAACCGAGUCUUAACUGGGCGUUAAGUUGCAGGGUAUAGACCCGAAACCCGGUGAUCUAGCCAUGGGCAGGUUGAAGGUUGGGUAACACUAACUGGAGGACCGAACCGACUAAUGUUGAAAAAUUAGCGGAUGACUUGUGGCUGGGGGUGAAAGGCCAAUCAAACCGGGAGAUAGCUGGUUCUCCCCGAAAGCUAUUUAGGUAGCGCCUCGUGAAUUCAUCUCCGGGGGUAGAGCACUGUUUCGGCAAGGGGGUCAUCCCGACUUACCAACCCGAUGCAAACUGCGAAUACCGGAGAAUGUUAUCACGGGAGACACACGGCGGGUGCUAACGUCCGUCGUGAAGAGGGAAACAACCCAGACCGCCAGCUAAGGUCCCAAAGUCAUGGUUAAGUGGGAAACGAUGUGGGAAGGCCCAGACAGCCAGGAUGUUGGCUUAGAAGCAGCCAUCAUUUAAAGAAAGCGUAAUAGCUCACUGGUCGAGUCGGCCUGCGCGGAAGAUGUAACGGGGCUAAACCAUGCACCGAAGCUGCGGCAGCGACGCUUAUGCGUUGUUGGGUAGGGGAGCGUUCUGUAAGCCUGUGAAGGUGUGCUGUGAGGCAUGCUGGAGGUAUCAGAAGUGCGAAUGCUGACAUAAGUAACGAUAAAGCGGGUGAAAAGCCCGCUCGCCGGAAGACCAAGGGUUCCUGUCCAACGUUAAUCGGGG